RNAcentral lists this ribosomal RNA (1193 nucleotides) under human gut metagenome. RNAcentral describes it as "bacterial LSU rRNA". It matches the Rfam family "Bacterial large subunit ribosomal RNA", at positions 1746 to 2925 of the family's 2925-position model. The record is from RNAcentral.
GGGUGCUCAGGGUGACAUGUUUAACAUAUGAAGCCCCGGGGAGCCGCAGUGAAUUGGUGGUGGCGACUGUUUACUAAAAACAUAGGUCUGUGCGAAGUCCUAAAGACGACGUAUACGGACUGACGCCUGCCCGGUGCUGGAAGGUUAAAAGGAGGGGUCAGCGCAAGCAAAGCUCCGAAUUGAAGCCCCAGUAAACGGCGGCCGUAACUAUAACGGUCCUAAGGUAGCGAAAUUCCUUGUCGGGUAAGUUCCGACCUGCACGAAUGGCGUAACGAUCUCCACACUGUCUCGGCCAGAGACUCGGUGAAAUUGCAGUCGCGGUGAAAAUUCCGUGUACCCGCAGAAAGACGGAAAGACCCUGUGCACCUUUACUAUAGCUUGACAUUGGAUUUUGGGCCUGCAUGUGUAGGAUAGGUGGGAGGCUGUGAACCCUGUACGCCAGUAUGGGGGGAGCCAUCCUUGAAAUACCACCCUUCGCAUGUUUAAGAUCCUAACUUCUUCCGGUUAUCCCGGAGAAAGACAGUGUCUGGCGGGUAGUUUGACUGGGGCGGUCGCCUCCUAAAGUGUAACGGAGGCAUGCAAAGGUUCCCUCAGCCUGAUCGGAAACCAGGCGCUGAGUGCAAACGCAUAAGGGAGCUUGACUGUAAGAGAGACAUCUCGAACAGGAACGAAAGUUGGCGUUAGUGAUCCGGUGGUCCCGAAUGGAAGGGCCAUCGCUCAUUGGAUAAAAGGUACGCCGGGGAUAACAGGCUGAUCGCAUCCAAGAGUUCACAUCGACGAUGCGGUUUGGCACCUCGAUGUCGGCUCAUCACAUCCUGGGGCUGAAGCAGGUCCCAAGGGUACGGCUGUUCGCCGUUUAAAGUGGUACGCGAGCUGGGUUUAAAACGUCGUGAGACAGUUUGGUCCCUAUCUUCUGUGGGCGAAGGAGAAUUGAGAGGGCCUGUCCCUAGUACGAGAGGACCGGGAUGGACGCACCCCUGGUGAUCCUGUUGUCGCGCCAGCGGCAUAGCAGGGUAGCUAUGUGCGGAAGGGAUAACCGCUGAAAGCAUCUAAGCGGGAAGCCUGCCUCAAGAUAAGUUCUCCCCUCGAAAGAGCUGAAGGGCCCGGGUAGACUACCCGGUCGAUAGGCUGGAGGUGUAAGCGCGGCGACGUGCUCAGCUGACCAGUACUAAUAGCCCGAGCGGCUUAUUUUU